CCACCCAAUGCGCCACCUAUACCUGCUUCGGUAUUGCCGCCUGCCGAUGCAACGCCGCUCAGCAGGCCAAGUGACAACAAGAGAAUCGAGGAGUACUUCAUAUGUGAAAGCCUCAAAGGGAUACGGCGGCGAUCCUGAGGCUCUGGACAGGGGCUUACAAUUGAAAUCCGACGAAUGACACGACUUGGAAAAAUUCUCCAAGUUACUGUUUUCACAAUGGAAACUUUAGGGUUUUUCGACGGUCACAGGCUGAUUGCGAAAGGCCUUUCCAGGGAUGGAAAGGCCUUUUUCUUUACCGUGUCACGCACUACCCUCCUACCCCAAGCUUGCGUGCCCCAACCCGCUGGAUCAACAAGGUGACAAGUGCGCCGAGCAAAGCCAGGGCCAUGUCCUUUUGCGCA
This 401-nucleotide small RNA is filed under the name Pseudomonas inefficax. RNAcentral's name for it is "Pseudomonas sp. JV551A3 P34". It matches the Rfam family "Pseudomonas sRNA P34", at positions 1 to 343 of the family's 399-position model. RNAcentral also lists the same sequence under 1 other name. The record is from RNAcentral. Lineage: Bacteria; Pseudomonadati; Pseudomonadota; Gammaproteobacteria; Pseudomonadales; Pseudomonadaceae.